UACGUAGGGGGCUAGCGUUGUCCGGAAUCAUUGGGCGUAAAGCGCGCGUAGGCGGCCACGCAAGUCGGGUGUGAAAUCCCGGAGCUCAACUCCGGAACUGCACUCGAAACUGCGCGGCUUGAGGUAGGUAGGGGAGAUCGGAAUUCCUGGUGUAGCGGUGGAAUGCGCAGAUAUCAGGAGGAACACCGGUGGCGAAGGCGGAUCUCUGGGCCUUACCUGACGCUGAGACGCGAAAGCUAGGGAGCGAACAGG
This 252-nucleotide ribosomal RNA is filed under the name uncultured bacterium. Its description in RNAcentral is "partial 16S ribosomal RNA". It matches the Rfam family "Bacterial small subunit ribosomal RNA", at positions 524 to 776 of the family's 1533-position model. The record is from RNAcentral.